Molecule: ribosomal RNA, 853 nt
Filed under: uncultured bacterium
Lineage: Bacteria
Description: bacterial SSU rRNA
Rfam family: Bacterial small subunit ribosomal RNA
Source: RNAcentral
GGCUCAGGAUGAACGCUGGAGGCGUGCUUAAUACAUGCAAGUCGAACGAGGUGCUUUUGUAGCAAUACGAAAGUAUCCUAGUGGCGAACGGGUGAGUAACACGUGGAUCAUCUACCUUUUAGUGGGGAAUACCUCUGGGAAACCGGAGACAAUACCGCAUAAGCCCGCAAGGGGAAAGCAGCAAUGCGCUGAAAGAGGAGUCCGCGGCCGAUUAGCUAGUUGGCGGGGUAAUGGCCCACCAAGGCGAAGAUCGGUAGCCGGCCUGAGAGGGCACACGGCCACACUGGCACUGAAACACGGGCCAGACUCCUACGGGAGGCAGCAGUGGGGAAUCUUGCACAAUGGACGAAAGUCUGAUGCAGCGACGCCGCGUGAGCGAUGAAGCCCUUCGGGGUGUAAAGCUCUUUCGACGGGAACGAUAAUGACGGUACCCGGAGAAGAAGCUGCGGCUAACUACGUGCCAGCAGCCGCGGUAAUACGUAGGCAGCGAGCGUUGUUCGGAAUUACUGGGCGUAAAGAGUGUGUAGGCGGUGUUCCCAGUCUGUUGUGAAAUCUCCCGGCUUAACUGGGAGGGUGCAGCGGAAACUAGAAUGCUAGAGGGUGGGAGAGGUAAGCGGAAUUCCUGGUGUAGCGGUGAAAUGCGUAGAUAUCAGGAGGAACACCUGUGGUGUAGACAGCUUACUGGACCACUUCUGACGCUGAGACACGAAAGCGUGGGUAGCAAACAGGAUUAGAUACCCUGGUAGUCCACGCCCUAAACGAUGCAUACUUGGUGUGAGCGAUUCAUUUCGUUCGUGCCGGAGCUAACGCGUUAAGUAUGCCGCCUGGGGAGUACGGUCGCAAGGCUGAAACU